ACACUCCUGCGGGAGGCAGCAGUAGGGAAUCUUCGGCAAUGGGGGCAACCCUGACCGAGCAACGCCGCGUGAGUGAAGAAGGUUUUCGGAUCGUAAAGCUCUGUUGUAAGUCAAGAACGAGUGUGAGAGUGGAAAGUUCACACUGUGACGGUAGCUUACCAGAAAGGGACGGCUAACUACGUGCCAGCAGCCGCGGUAAUACGUAGGUCCCGAGCGUUGUCCGGAUUUAUUGGGCGUAAAGCGAGCGCAGGCGGUUUGAUAAGUCUGAAGUUAAAGGCUGUGGCUCAACCAUAGUUCGCUUUGGAAACUGUCAAACUUGAGUGCGGAAGGGGAGAGUGGAAUUCCAUGUGUAGCGGUGAAAUGCGUAGAUAUAUGGAGGAACACCGGUGGCGAAAGCGGCUCUCUGGUCUGUAACUGACGCUGAGGCUCGAAAGCGUGGGGAGCGAACAGGAUUAGAAACCCCAGUAGUCCCAUG
Molecule: ribosomal RNA, 475 nt
Filed under: uncultured organism
Description: partial 16S ribosomal RNA
Rfam family: Bacterial small subunit ribosomal RNA
Source: RNAcentral